GAUGAAGAACGUAGCGAAAUGCGAUAAGUAAUGUGAAUUGCAGAAUUCAGUGAAUCAUCGAAUCUUUGAACGCAUCUUGCGCUCCUUGGUAUUCCUUGGAGCAUGCCUGUUUGAGUAUCAUGAGCAAAUCUCAAAGUCAAUUCCUUUUGUUGAUUCAAUUGGUUUUGCUUUGGACUUGGAGGCCUUGCAGAUUUCACAGUCUGCUCCUCUUAAAUGCAUUAGCUGGAACUCAGUAAUUAUGCUUGGUUCCACUCGGCGUGAUAAGUAUCACUCGCUGAGGACACUGUUAAAAAGGUGGCCAGGAAAAUACUGAUUGAACCGCUUCUAACGGUCUAUUAAGUUAGACAAUUACCCUUAAGUUUGAUCUCAAAUCAGGUAGGACUACCCGCUGAACUUAAGCAUAUCAAUAAGCGGAGGA
This 418-nucleotide unclassified non-coding RNA is filed under the name soil metagenome. Its description in RNAcentral is "partial contains 5.8S ribosomal RNA, internal transcribed spacer 2, and large subunit ribosomal RNA". The stretch from base 1 to 120 matches the Rfam family "5.8S ribosomal RNA", at positions 35 to 154 of the family's 154-position model. The record is from RNAcentral.